Non-coding RNA from Paramuricea clavata, 213 nucleotides. The record is from the annotation of a GenBank genome assembly. Lineage: Eukaryota; Metazoa; Cnidaria; Anthozoa; Malacalcyonacea; Plexauridae.
GGCCAAGCGGUUAGCGCACUUGCCUUUCACCUCUGAGGCUGCAGGUUCGAGUCUCACUAAGUACCUUCUCAGUGCGACUCGAACCCAGUCCCCAUGUGAAAAGAGUAAAAAAGUCAAUGCUCUGCCGAAAGCCGUGGGUUUUCCCCGGGUACUCCGGUUUCCUCCCACAGGGAAAGUUGACAGGGUGGGUUAGGUAAAAAAAAAAAAAGGGCC